GUUUCCACUGCUGCACCAAGGGCACAAGUCUUAUUCAGCAGGAUUUGGGAUUCCUGGAGAACUGUUUUCAUGAAAAGUCAGAAAUAAUUUCUUUAUAUUCCAUCUCUUAGUUUUCUGUUUUGUUGCAUUUCAGAGGAACAUCAAGAAACC
This 150-nucleotide non-coding RNA is filed under the name Choloepus hoffmanni (Hoffmann's two-fingered sloth). Its description in RNAcentral is "ODC internal ribosome entry site (IRES)". It matches the Rfam family "ODC internal ribosome entry site (IRES)". The record is from Rfam by way of RNAcentral. Lineage: Eukaryota; Metazoa; Chordata; Mammalia; Pilosa; Megalonychidae.